Molecule: ribosomal RNA, 490 nt
Filed under: uncultured bacterium
Lineage: Bacteria
Description: partial 16S ribosomal RNA
Rfam family: Bacterial small subunit ribosomal RNA
Source: RNAcentral
AUUGAACGCUGGCGGCAGGCCUAACACAUGCAAGUCGAACGGUAACAGGAAGAAGCUUGCUUCUUUGCUGACGAGUGGCGGACGGGUGAGUAAUGUCUGGGAAACUGCCUGAUGGAGGGGGAUAACUACUGGAAACGGUAGCUAAUACCGCAUAACGUCGCAAGACCAAAGAGGGGGACCUUCGGGCCUCUUGCCAUCGGAUGUGCCCAGAUGGGAUUAGCUAGUAGGUGGGGUAACGGCUCACCUAGGCGACGAUCCCUAGCUGGUCUGAGAGGAUGACCAGCCACACUGGAACUGAGACACGGUCCAGACUCCUACGGGAGGCAGCAGUGGGUAAUAUUGCACAAUGGGCGCAAGCCUGAUGCAGCCAUGCCGCGUGUAUGAAGAAGGCCUUCGGGUUGUAAAGUACUUUCAGCGGGGAGGAAGGGAGUAAAGUUAAUACCUUUACUCAUUGACGUUACCCGCAGAAGAAGCACCGGCUAACUCCGUG